Molecule: ribosomal RNA, 103 nt
Filed under: Pteropus alecto (black flying fox)
Lineage: Eukaryota; Metazoa; Chordata; Mammalia; Chiroptera; Pteropodidae
Source: RNAcentral
GUCUAUGGCCAUGCCACCCUGAACAAGCCCAAUGUCUGAUCUUGGAAGCUAAGCAAGGUUGGGCCUGGUUAGUACUUGGAUGGGAGACCAGGUGCUGUAGGCA